CCAGACUCCUACGGGAGGCAGCAGUGGGGGAUAUUGCACAAUGGGGGAAACCCUGAUGCAGCGACGCCGCGUGGGUGAAGAAGCGCCUCGGCGCGUAAAGCCCUGUCAGCAGGGAAGAAAAUGACGGUACCCAAAGAGGAAGCUCCGGCUAACUACGUGCCAGCAGCCGCGGUAAUACGUAGGGAGCGAGCGUUGUCCGGAAUUACUGGGUGUAAAGGGAGCGUAGGCGGGCGAGAAAGUUGAAUGUUAAAUCUACCGGCUUAACUGGUAGCUGCGUUCAAAACUUCUUGUCUUGAGUGAAGUAGAGGCAGGCGGAAUUCCUAGGGUAGCGGUGAAAUGCGUAGAUAUUAGGAGGAACACCAGUGGCGGAGGCGGCCUGCUGGGCUUUAACUGACGCUGAGGCUCGAAAGCGUGGGGAGCAAACAGGAUUAGAUACCCCCGUAG
Molecule: ribosomal RNA, 444 nt
Filed under: uncultured bacterium
Lineage: Bacteria
Description: bacterial SSU rRNA
Rfam family: Bacterial small subunit ribosomal RNA
Source: RNAcentral